UGGAGGUCUAGGUAUUAUGAUAACUAGAGGUCUUGGUAAGGUCCAGUAUAUAAUAUAAUAUAUGGUACAGUAUAUAGUAUAACAUACCAUACAAUAUAUAGUCUAGUAUAGGGAAUACAGACUGAAAGGAGGUGGGUAACAUCUAAGGCUCUUCAUCCGGUUGUUGAGAGACGGUUCUUGAACUGCCCGGUCUCGACACCGGAUACCUAACCACCAUCGUAGUGCGGUCGGCCGCGAUAAGGGUCCGACUGGACCCCGCUGAUUCUCAUUGGUUGUUCAUGUUUCUUUUCGUGCUGUGGAAGCUCCGCACCAGGCGGACUAAGUUUUUCUCGUGUUUUCCUCUUCUCUGAAGGGAGAAGAGUUGCUGGUUGCUUUCUGUAGUCGACAAUAGUAUCACGCCAAAGCUGCAGAGGCGGCGUGGUGGUUGUGCGGCAAGUACCCAAAACGCACGUAUUGUGUCGAUCACGGUGGAGCUGCAUCGAGCUGGCUGAUCAUCAUCAGCUCGAGUCUUUGGGUUUGAUUUCCUUUUUGUUGUCUGUGUUUUCUUCUCCCUCGUUUGGUGGUUGUGCCGAUGCUGCGGAGCUGCAAACCACUAUCGUAUUGUGGCGCUGCUUGUGCAAGCUCGGAAGCUGGUUGUAGACUGCAUGUAUUCUCGCAAGGUUGGAGUUUGUUGGGAGUGUUGAAGACCUCAUUGUACGUCAAGAGCUGUGCGUGGGGUUCAUUUCAUCCCUUCGUCGGUGACAGCUAAUUUUUGCUGGUUCUGUUGGAGUGCGACAAUAUUGCUUGGUUUAUCUUCCUUGUGGUUUCCUCUGGCCUUGUCCCUGCGGUGUGGCGAAAGGUUCUGCUUGUUUGCCUUAGGCUCUACUUCAAGCUUCCAAUCUUGCUCGUCAUUGUGCGGUUCAUGGUUUUGAUGAUCCAACUACCAUCAUGAUUUUUUCAUUCUUCUACCACUCCCAUCAUGUCUGUGGUCGUCGUCUUUGCGCCCUCGCUGUUGUUUGCUGCUACCUUCCACAAGGAAUAAAUCAGAGGAGUGUGAUAAUUCCAUUUUUCAUCGCGUUACAAUUCAGCCCAGCUAGUGUCGUCUUCGACAGUGUACUUACGUUGUAGCACCAGCGACGAUUUUCCUCCCAUUGGUUGUUCACGGUGGUUGGUUGAAGCUGGAUCUUACGUCGACAACAUUCCCUUCUGCAAUUCACUUGUAUUUCGAGCUUAUGGUUUCCCUUUUUUGCGGUUCUACAAUUGGAUUGGCUGGACUAUACUAUGUGAUAGGGUGGCUUGGCUGUGGAGACUUGAGGCGGAUCCAGGCUAGAGACUGAGCGUUGAAGAAGACUUCGUUGGUUGAAGUCUAGGAACAUCAAACUAGCGGAACUAGCAAAUGAACUUUUGAGGUCCAAAUUCCCAAUGAAAGUGGGGGUCCGGUCAAGGACAAAGAGAAGCUGUCAUCUUGGAUUGGAACAACAGUGCGGUAUUUCCUGUCGGUGGCAGUAGGGAAGAGAACAUCCAGGCGCUCGUGCGUAUGUGUGUGCAUUGGAUGAUUGCGCAACUGUACACCAAAUUUCAAGAUCAAAGAAUUAUGCUUUGUAGAGUCGCAAUCAUCUUUCUGGUGAAGCUCAAGGCACAUAAGUGAACUGCAUGGCGCUUCCUGAUAGCAACUUGAUUGUUAGACAUUAGAAGUGUAGAUGCUGUCGACAAUGGUCUCUUGCCCGAGUUUGUUGAUCUUCAUUUUGAAGCUAAGAUUUUGGAGAAGGGCUAGAAUUAGGAAGGCAGGCUCAUCAUGUAUAGUCCACCAAUUUAGAACCACCGUCUACUCCCACAUGAUCCUCGAAGUUUCACUGUGGUGCUUCAGAGCAUCCUUUUGAAGGCUCUCAUCACCAUGUAUUGAAUUCAGUAGAGGGUCAUCAGGAGGUGUUCAAGAUUAUCAACAAGGGCGUUGCAAUUCACAGGUUGUACAUCUCAAUUGUGUCAGUUUUUUUAUAAAAAAAAGAAAAUCCGACUUGUUCAUUAGACUCCAUUUAUUGAGUUUAAGUGUGGCCAAGAAUUGCUAAUGACAAAAUAUUAAAGAAGUGGAUGAAGCAAGGUCAAAUCGGAUGAAAUUUGAUGGAUGAAAAUUGAUUAAGUAGAUGAAUUUUUAUUUGUGGAUAAAAAUUCAAUUGUGGAUGAGAAUUUGUCCU
Molecule: long non-coding RNA, 2171 nt
Filed under: Physcomitrium patens
Lineage: Eukaryota; Viridiplantae; Streptophyta; Bryopsida; Funariales; Funariaceae
Description: long non-coding RNA (PPAT_LNC004944)
Source: RNAcentral